Molecule: ribosomal RNA, 642 nt
Filed under: uncultured Veillonella sp.
Lineage: Bacteria; Bacillati; Bacillota; Negativicutes; Veillonellales; Veillonellaceae
Description: bacterial SSU rRNA
Rfam family: Bacterial small subunit ribosomal RNA
Source: RNAcentral
CCGCAAGGUNAAANUCAANGAAUUGACGGGGGCCCGCACAAGCGGUGGAGUAUGUGGUUUANUUCGACGCAACGCGAAGANCCUUACCAGGUCUUGACAUUGAUGGACAGAACUAGAGAUAGUUCNUCUUCUUCGGAAGCCAGAAAACAGGUGGUGCACGGUUGUCGUCAGCUCGUGUCGUGAGAUGUUGGGUUAAGUCCCGCAACGAGCGCAACCCCUAUCUUAUGUUGCCAGCACGUAAUGGUGGGAACUCAUGAGAGACUGCCGCAGACAAUGCGGAGGAAGGCGGGGAUGACGUCAAAUCAUCAUGCCCCUUAUGACCUGGGCUACACACGUACUACAAUGGGCUUUAAUAGAGGGAAGCGAAGUCGCGAGGCGGAGCAAACCCCAGAAACAAGCUCUCAGUUCGGAUCGUAGGCUGCAACUCGCCUACGUGAAGUCGGAAUCGCUAGUAAUCGCAGGUCAGCAUACUGCGGUGAAUACGUUCCCGGGCCUUGUACACACCGCCCGUCACACCACGAAAGUCGGAAGUGCCCAAAGCCGGUGGGGUAACCUUCGGGAGCCAGCCGUCUAAGGUAAAGUCGAUGAUUGGGGUGAAGUCGUAACAAGGUAGCCGUAUCGGAAGGUGCGGCUGGAUCACCU